Long non-coding RNA from Haliotis rubra (blacklip abalone), 298 nucleotides. RefSeq lists it as uncharacterized. The transcript has 3 exons. NCBI's taxonomy places the organism in Eukaryota, Metazoa, Mollusca, Gastropoda, Lepetellida, Haliotidae. The record is from RefSeq and is a predicted model, not a curated record.
GUAUUGACUACCUUACUGUGUGGAUUGGUAGUGAGUCGGAUGACGUUGAAGAUGACAGUAUUGACUACCUUACUGUGUGGACUGGUAGUGAGGUGGACGACGGUGAAGAUGACAGUAUUGACUACCUUACUGUGUGGUGAUAUGAAUUCAAGGACUGGUAGUGAGAUGGAUGACGUUGAAGAUGACAGUAUUGACUACCUUACUGUGUGGACUGGUAGUGAGGUGGACGACGGUGAAGAUGACAGUAUUGACUACCUUACUGUGUGGACUGGUAGUGAGUCGGAUGACGUUGAAGAUG